RNAcentral lists this unclassified non-coding RNA (342 nucleotides) under soil metagenome. RNAcentral describes it as "partial contains 5.8S ribosomal RNA, internal transcribed spacer 2, and large subunit ribosomal RNA". The stretch from base 1 to 120 matches the Rfam family "5.8S ribosomal RNA", at positions 35 to 154 of the family's 154-position model. The record is from RNAcentral.
GAUGAAGAACGUAGCGAAAUGCGAUAAGUAAUGUGAAUUGCAGAAUUCAGUGAAUCAUCGAAUCUUUGAACGCACAUUGCGCCCGCCAGCACUCUGGCGGGCAUGCCUGUUCGAGCGUCAUUUCAACCAUCAAGCCCCCAGGGGCUUGUGCUGGGGCCCUGCGGCUGCCCGCAGGCCCUGAAAACCAGUGGCGGGCUCGCUAGUCACACCGAGCGCAGUAGCACAUCUCGCUCAGGGCGUGCGGCGGGCUCCUACCGUGAAACCCCCCACUGUAACCCCAAAGGUUGACCUCGGAUCAGGUAGGAAUACCCGCUGAACUUAAGCAUAUCAAUAAGCGGAGGA